Molecule: non-coding RNA, 462 nt
Organism: Pygocentrus nattereri (red-bellied piranha)
Lineage: Eukaryota; Metazoa; Chordata; Actinopteri; Characiformes; Serrasalmidae
Source: the annotation of a RefSeq genome assembly
GUAGAGCCUCAUCAACACUCACCAUGAAGAUCACGCUCUCCUUAUUACUGAUACUACUCAGCUUCAAUGGUGGGAAAUGUCAAAGUGUGGAAUCUUUACAAACUGCAGUUCAGCUAAAACCUGGAGAAACUCUGAGUCUCUCCUGUAGAGGAUCUGGAUUCACUUUUAGCAGCUAUGACAUGCACUGGAUCAGACAACAGGCUGGAAAACCACUCGAAUGGAUAGCAGAAGUUGGGAGUAGUGGAAGUAACAAGGCGAAAUCUUUUGAUGGACGUGCUGAAUUUACAAAAGACGAUUCCAACCGCAUGGUGUACCUGAAACUGUCUGGUGUGACAGUCGAGGACUCAGCUGUGUAUUACUGUGCAAGUGAGACACACAGUGAAGAACAUGGGUGGAAAGACUGUACAAAAACAUGUCCAGAGCUUUAGCUUCAGCAGGUGGUAAAGAAAGUUAGGCAGAAUG